Molecule: ribosomal RNA, 432 nt
Filed under: uncultured bacterium
Lineage: Bacteria
Description: partial 16S ribosomal RNA
Rfam family: Bacterial small subunit ribosomal RNA
Source: RNAcentral
AACGAACGCUGGCGGCAUGCCUAACACAUGCAAGUCGAACGAGAACUCCGGGUCUAGUGGCGUAUGGGUGCGUAACGCGUGGGAACCUGCCCUUAGGUUCGGAAUAACUCCCCGAAAGGGGUGCUAAUACCGGAUAAUGUCUUAGGACCAAAGAUUUAUCGCCUUUGGAUGGGCCCGAGUUGGAUUCGGUAGUUGGUAGGGUAAAAGCCUACCAAGGCGACGAUCCAUAGCUGGUCUGAGAGGAUGAUCAGCCACACUGGGACAGAGACACGGCCCAGACUCCUACGGAAGGCAGCAGUGGGGAAGAUUGGACGAUGGGCGAAAGCCUGAUCCAUCAAGACCGCGUGAGUGAUGAAGGCCUUAGGGUUGUAAAGCUCUUUUACCCGGGAUGAUAAUGACAUUACCGGGAGAAUAAGCACCGGCUAACUCCGU